AUUGACGAAGAAGCUUGCUUCUUCUGAUGUUAGCGGCGGACGGGUGAGUAACACGUGGGCAACCUACCUUAUAGUUUGGGAUAACUCCGGGAAACCGGGGCUAAUACCGAAUAAUCUAUUUCUCCUCAUGGAGAAAUACUGAAAGACGGUUUCGGCUGUCGCUAUAAGAUGGGCCCGCGGCGCAUUAGCUAGUUGGUGAGGUAACGGCUCACCAAGGCGACGAUGCGUAGCCGACCUGAGAGGGUGAUCGGCCACACUGGGACUGAGACACGGCCCAGACUCCUACGGGAGGCAGCAGUAGGGAAUCUUCCACAAUGGGCGAAAGCCUGAUGGAGCAACGCCGCGUGAGUGAAGAAGGAUUUCGGUUCGUAAAACUCUGUUGUAAGGGAAGAACAAGUACAGUAGUAACUGGCUGUACCUUGACGGUACCUUAUUAGAAAGCCACGGCUAACUACGUGCCAGCAGCCGCGGUAAUACGUAGGUGGCAAGCGUUGUCCGGAAUUAUUGGGCGUAAAGCGCGCGCAGGUGGUUCCUUAAGUCUGAUGUGAAAGCCCACGGCUCAACCGUGGAGGGUCAUUGGAAACUGGGGAACUUGAGUGCAGAAGAGGAUAGUGGAAUUCCAAGUGUAGCGGUGAAAUGCGUAGAGAUUUGGAGGAACACCAGUGGCGAAGGCGACUAUCUGGUCUGUAACUGACACUGAGGCGCGAAAGCGUGGGGAGCAAACAGGAUUAGAUACCCUGGUAGUCCACGCCGUAAACGAUGAGUGCUAAGUGUUGGGGGGUUUCCGCCCCUCAGUGCUGCAGCUAACGCAUUAAGCACUCCGCCUGGGGAGUACGGUCGCAAGACUGAAACUCAAAGGAAUUGACGGGGGCCCGCACAAGCGGUGGA
This 888-nucleotide ribosomal RNA is filed under the name Lysinibacillus sp. SK108. RNAcentral describes it as "bacterial SSU rRNA". It matches the Rfam family "Bacterial small subunit ribosomal RNA", at positions 65 to 936 of the family's 1533-position model. The record is from RNAcentral. Lineage: Bacteria; Bacillati; Bacillota; Bacilli; Caryophanales; Bacillaceae.